UAGGGAAUCUUCGGCAAUGGACGAAAGUCUGACCGAGCAACGCCGCGUGAGUGAAGGAGGUUUUCGGAUCGUAAAACUCUGUUGUUAGAGAAGAACAAGGGUGAGAGUAACUGUUCACCCCUUGACGGUAUCUAACCAGAAAGCCACGGCUAACUACGUGCCAG
This 164-nucleotide ribosomal RNA is filed under the name uncultured bacterium. RNAcentral's name for it is "partial 16S rRNA". It matches the Rfam family "Bacterial small subunit ribosomal RNA", at positions 355 to 511 of the family's 1533-position model. The record is from RNAcentral.